This 498-nucleotide ribosomal RNA is filed under the name uncultured bacterium. RNAcentral describes it as "partial 16S ribosomal RNA". It matches the Rfam family "Bacterial small subunit ribosomal RNA", at positions 28 to 507 of the family's 1533-position model. The record is from RNAcentral.
GACGAACGCUGGCGGCGUGCCUAAUACAUGCAAGUCGAACGAGAGCGACCGGUGCUUGCACUGGUCAAUCUAGUGGCGAACGGGUGAGUAACACGUGGGUAACCUGCCCAUCAGAGGGGGAUAACAUCCGGAAACGGAUGCUAAAACCGCAUAGAUCUUCGAGCCGCAUGGCUUGAAGAGGAAAAGAGGCGCAAGCUUCUGCUGAUGGAUGGACCCGCGGUGCAUUAGCUAGUUGGUGAGGUAACGGCUCACCAAGGCCGUGAUGCAUAGCCGACCUGAGAGGGUGAUCGGCCACAUUGGGACUGAGACACGGCCCAAACUCCUACGGGAGGCAGCAGUAGGGAAUCUUCCGCAAUGGACGCAAGUCUGACGGAGCAACGCCGCGUGAGUGAAGAAGGUUUUCGGAUCGUAAAACUCUGUUGUUAGAGAAGAACAAGUGCUAGAGUAACUGUUAGCGCCUUGACGGUAUCUAACCAGAAAGCCACGGCUAACUACGUG